UACGGAGGGUGCGAGCGUUGUCCGGAAUCACUGGGCGUAAAGGGCGCGUAGGCGGCUUCUCAAGCGUGUGGUGAAAGUCCGGGGCUCAACCCCGGAUCGGCCGUGCGGACUGGGGAGCUCGAGUUCUGUAGAGGCGGGUGGAAUUCCGGGUGUAGCGGUGGAAUGCGUAGAGAUGUGGAGGAACACCGAUGGCGAAGGCAGCCUCCUGGGCCAGCACUGACGCUCAUGCACGAAAGCGUGGGGAGCAAACAGG
Molecule: ribosomal RNA, 253 nt
Filed under: uncultured bacterium
Lineage: Bacteria
Description: partial 16S ribosomal RNA
Rfam family: Bacterial small subunit ribosomal RNA
Source: RNAcentral